CCGCAGGCCAGCGGCCGUUCCAUCCACCUGAAAAGCGGAAGGUCGGCGGUUCGAUCCCGCCCCUGGCCA
RNAcentral lists this transfer RNA (69 nucleotides) under Mycobacterium kansasii. RNAcentral describes it as "tRNA-Phe". RNAcentral also lists the same sequence under 2 other names. Lineage: Bacteria; Bacillati; Actinomycetota; Actinomycetes; Mycobacteriales; Mycobacteriaceae. The record is from RNAcentral.